AGAGUUUGCUUCAUGGAUAAAAAUUUCCGCACCAUUUCAUAACAAAAGCGGAUUUCUGAUUCUUUUGCUGAGAUAUUUGAUCAUUGUUGUAAAUUUUGACGAAUUGUUCCGGAAAUCGAAAAAGAAGAGAAAUUCAGACUGAAGAAAUAUUGUGAAGAAAGAAAUGGCGAGAAGAAAUAUACAUCAUAAGGCUAAACUUGAACGAGAGGAAAUGCAGAAAGGUCAGAGCUCUCACAAGAAAUGGAAUCACUGGAAAGGAGGAGAUAAUCCUGUGUGUUCAUCUGGGCGAAAUAAUCAGCAAGUAAUUCUAUCCUCUAUGGCUUGUGGUGUCAUUUAUACUUCAAAGAUAAGGGCAAAAAAGGAUAUCUUGAAGGACACAAAAUUCACAGACUUUUUUAGAACUCGGUCUAUUUUUACGGUUAUUUUUCACAUUUUCCAAAUGGAAAUUUAACUUGAAAGUAGGGAUCUCCGAGGGCUAUUUAGUUUGAAUGAAAAUCUCCUUGAAGCUAAAAAUUCGUCAUCAAGUUCAAUUUUGAUGGAAAUGGACAAUAAGAUUAUUGAAAAAUUUGAAAAAGAAAGAAAACAUUAAUUAUAAAGUGUCGAAAAAAUAAUUGUGAACAAAUUUUCAAAAGUUUCGAGUGCAAUUUAAAAUUCGUUUGUUAUAAAAAAAAAAAAAGUUUCGAGUCAGUGCGCGAUUUAAAUUCGUUUGUUAUAAAAAAAAAAGUUUCGAGUCUGUGCGCGAUUUAAAAUGCGUUUGUUAUAAAAAAAAAAAUUGUUCAAAUCAGUGCGCGAAUUCAAAAUACAUAUUUGAAUCAUAAAAAUUGUAGAACAUGUUUUUUUUUAAUUGUAUAAAAAAAGUUUCUAGUUUUUAAUUCUUCGAAAAAUAUUUCUGUUUUUUGGAAUUUCAAUAGUUCAAAUUUUUUUCCAAAUAUUUUAGUAAUAAUUAUAAUUUUUAAUGAUUCAAAUAUUUUAUUUGCGUGUGUUAGUGAGAAGUGUGUGAAAUGAGUGAAGUGCUUCAAAAAUAUUCAGAUGGACUUCGAAAGAGCUGGAAGGACUGGAAGGAAUUUUGUAAGGACAUCAG
Long non-coding RNA from Leptopilina boulardi, 1081 nucleotides. RefSeq lists it as uncharacterized. Lineage: Eukaryota; Metazoa; Arthropoda; Insecta; Hymenoptera; Figitidae. The transcript has 4 exons. The record is from RefSeq and is a predicted model, not a curated record.